RNAcentral lists this ribosomal RNA (133 nucleotides) under uncultured bacterium. RNAcentral's name for it is "partial 16S ribosomal RNA". It matches the Rfam family "Bacterial small subunit ribosomal RNA", at positions 355 to 507 of the family's 1533-position model. The record is from RNAcentral.
UAGGGAAUAUUGCACAAUGGGCGCAAGCUGAUGCAGCAACGCCGCGUGACAAGAAGGCCUUCGGGUCGUAAAGCUCUAUCGACCGGGACGAAGUAUGACUGUACCGGGGUAAGAAGCCACGACUAACUACGUG